AUUUCUUGAGUGCACACCAUAAGGCCUAAUUGGAUUCAGAUGGGAAAAAUCUGGGGCCCAUUCCUGGACUUUGACUUCAUUAUGGUGAAGCCAAACAGUAGUAGAAGCAUACAGUAUAUGAGACUUCACAAGAUCUUAUUGUAAAAUUGAAUCUCUCUAUAGAUGAAGGUUAGCUAUGAAAGGCACGAAAUGUUCCAAGAUUUCCUGUAGCAUUGUACAUUGACACACCCAUCAUAUGGAACCAAAUCACCUACUCCAAAAGAAUGAAAACACUUCCAUACUUCCUCUGGAAACAUUCACUUCUUGCUUCACACAACUUUGGAGGAGUCCUUCAUUUAGCUUGUGGAUGACUGUUCACUAUUUCCAUAUUGGAAUGGGAAAGGAGAUUUGUCAUAAUCAUAUUCUUCCGGUUAUCCUCCGUCUAGGAAAGAUGGUUUCUGUCCCAUGCCAAUCUCUUCUUUCAUUGAGCUGUAUCAACAUAGGUUUUUACUUACUCUUGUAAGAGCCAUAUCUCAUGUCAUGUAGCCUGCUAUUAGCAGUUUGUCAAGAUACAGGUUGGCUUAUAUGUUCAGUCCAUAGUUCUGCAGUUUCCAUGAAUGUACAAGGUUGCUGUUAAACAACAAGACAAUGCAAAACUCUAGCUUCUAACAAAACUAGCAGUAGUUUGAGGAAGGUUCUGACUGUAGAUUCAUUUAAGCCUAAUUCAAAAUCUAUCACAUAGUUAUUCCAUUUUGUUGUUGACUAUGGAGGAUCUUUUCAUGUAUUUGCAGUUCUAACAUCUUUUGCUAUUUUUCAAACUUGUGAAGUCUGCAGAAAGUGUAUCAGAUUUUAUAUUCUCUUUCAGUUGCAUGUGUUGACUGGAUUUAUCACAAAUCAAGAGGUAAAAUUUGCAUGUCCAGCCACUUGUUUGCCAAUGCUGGAUAUGUGUAAAUUUAUUGCUUCAGAGUUUUGGAAGGAAUAAUGUUUCUAGGCUUAUAUUGACAAGCCUGAUGUGGGGGUUAGCUCAAGUGGAGUAUUUUAUCGGUGAAUGAAAUAAAAAGAUUAAAUGGUAUGACAUCUAAUACAGCAAUAUUUGCAUAUAAUGUUAUUUUAUAGUGUAAGGCUGAAAAACAAACACCAGCUAUCUAAUUCAACCCAACAAUAUACUACCUGGAUUCAAUCUUGAGUCUUCUGGAUGAAACAGAAAUAGUUGUUAUUGAUUUACAAUAAAGAAUGAAUCAGUCACUUGGAAAUGUAUUGUACUUCAUCCUGGACCAUUUGUAAUCAAUUCUUGAUCCCCAAUUUUCAAAUUUUUUAGAAAUAAUUUGGACUAGGCUUAUUGAAUCCAGUUCAUUUUCUGAUGGCUUACCCUAGAUUUGUCUAUGGUAAAUACGGAAAUAUACCAUCUCUGGCAAGAAAGCAACAUAAAACAAGACCUCAGCAUAUGUAUGUGCAGUCCAUGAUAAAACAUUGAUAUGCAUUGCUGCUUAGUAUCCAAUAGAAUGAAAAGCAGCAUAAAAUUUAAUGGGAAGAAAGAUCAUUGAAGGAUAUAGGGGAUUCAUGGACA
Molecule: long non-coding RNA, 1546 nt
Filed under: Androctonus crassicauda
Lineage: Eukaryota; Metazoa; Arthropoda; Arachnida; Scorpiones; Buthidae
Source: RNAcentral